Molecule: ribosomal RNA, 663 nt
Filed under: Nostoc calcicola FACHB-389
Lineage: Bacteria; Bacillati; Cyanobacteriota; Cyanophyceae; Nostocales; Nostocaceae
Description: bacterial SSU rRNA
Rfam family: Bacterial small subunit ribosomal RNA
Source: RNAcentral
CGGACGGGUGAGUAACGCGUGAGAAUCUAGCUUCAGGUCUAGGACAACCACUGGAAACGGUGGCUAAUACUGGAUGUGCCGAAAGGUGAAAGGCUUGCUGCCUGAAGAUGAGCUCGCGUCUGAUUAGCUAGUAGGUGGGGUAAGAGCCUACCUAGGCGACGAUCAGUAGCUGGUCUGAGAGGAUGAUCAGCCACACUGGGACUGAGACACGGCCCAGACUCCUACGGGAGGCAGCAGUGGGGAAUUUUCCGCAAUGGGCGAAAGCCUGACGGAGCAAUACCGCGUGAGGGAGGAAGGCUCUUGGGUUGUAAACCUCUUUUCUCAGGGAAGAACACAAUGACGGUACCUGAGGAAUCAGCAUCGGCUAACUCCGUGCCAGCAGCCGCGGUAAUACGGAGGAUGCAAGCGUUAUCCGGAAUGAUUGGGCGUAAAGCGUCCGCAGGUGGCUGUGUAAGUCUGCUGUUAAAGAGUCUAGCUCAACUAGAUAAAGGCAGUGGAAACUACACGGCUAGAGUGCGUUCGGGGCAGAGGGAAUUCCUGGUGUAGCGGUGAAAUGCGUAGAGAUCAGGAAGAACACCGGUGGCGAAGGCGCUCUGCUAGGCCGCAACUGACACUGAGGGACGAAAGCUAGGGGAGCGAAUGGGAUUAGAUACCCCAGUAGUC